RNAcentral lists this ribosomal RNA (712 nucleotides) under uncultured bacterium. Its description in RNAcentral is "bacterial SSU rRNA". It matches the Rfam family "Bacterial small subunit ribosomal RNA", at positions 60 to 767 of the family's 1533-position model. The record is from RNAcentral.
AGUCGAACGGUAACAGGGAUUGCUUGCAAUCCGCUGACGAGUGGCGCACGGGUGCGUAACGCGUAUACAAUCUGCCUUACACUGGGGGAUAGCCUUUAGAAAUGAAGAUUAAUACCCCAUGGUCUAUAGAAGUGGCAUCGCUUUUAUAGUAAAGGUUACGGUGUAAGAUGAGUAUGCGUCCUAUUAGUUUGUUGGUGUGGUAACGGCACACCAAGACUACGAUAGGUAGGGGCCCUGAGAGGGGGAUCCCCCACACUGGUACUGAGACACGGACCAGACUCCUACGGGAGGCAGCAGUGAGGAAUAUUGGACAAUGGGCGAGAGCCUGAUCCAGCCAUGCCGCGUGCAGGAAGACUGCCCUAUGGGUUGUAAACUGCUUUUAUACGGGAAGAAGCACUCCUACGUGUAGGAAUUUGACGGUACCGUAAGAAUAAGCAUCGGCUAACUCCGUGCCAGCAGCCGCGGUAAUACGGAGGAUGCAAGCGUUAUCCGGAAUCAUUGGGUUUAAAGGGUCCGUAGGCGGGCAGUUAAGUCAGGGGUGAAAGUUUGCGGCUCAACCGUAAAAUUGCCUCUGAUACUGAUUGUCUUGAAUUAGUGUGAAGUGGUUAGAAUGAGUAGUGUAGCGGUGAAAUGCAUAGAUAUUACUCAGAAUACCGAUUGCGAAGGCAGAUCACUAACACUAUAUUGACGCUGAUGGACGAAAGCGUGGGGA